UAUCCUUAAAAGAACCAUCGCCUCUGCCCUCCUGAACCCGAGGACGCGACGGCAUGAACCGGCAGCUGUCUGUCUCUCACGCGCCAUCGGCUUGUCAAGAUGGGAGAAAUUGGAAAGGAAGCAGACCAGGCUUGGCAAAUGUCCAAAGGAAUGGAUGUUGGGUGAUCAAAAGUUUGAAAUCCUGUUAUGGUUAUUGACUUGUGAUCCAAGGUUCUUGAUGCAUAAUGUCCAUUUUGAAUUGCAUGGAUAUUGGAGAAUGAAACCAGCCAAGAAUUGAUCCAACACGUUGGGAAUCAACAGUGGUGGUAUUAAAUGGAUGGAUGUAUUGGACAAGCAACUGGUCUUUUUGAUGCGAGCCCUGGUCCAUAGUGGUGUAAAUUAUGGAAAUCCACAUUAAAUGGUUGAAAGAUGCAGGCCAGAUGUAGUGCAAAUUAAAUCUCUUGUAGAUUCAGCUUUUGAAUCUUGUUUGUGGGGAAUGGUUCCCUUAAGUGGUAAAGGACUAUACAUUUCUGAUCCUGUGUAAAAUGAGCAAGGC
Molecule: long non-coding RNA, 535 nt
Filed under: Penaeus japonicus
Lineage: Eukaryota; Metazoa; Arthropoda; Malacostraca; Decapoda; Penaeidae
Description: uncharacterized LOC122252272, transcript variant X2
Source: RNAcentral